This 165-nucleotide ribosomal RNA is filed under the name uncultured bacterium. RNAcentral describes it as "partial 16S rRNA". It matches the Rfam family "Bacterial small subunit ribosomal RNA", at positions 355 to 511 of the family's 1533-position model. The record is from RNAcentral.
UAGGGAAUCUUCGGCAAUGGACGAAAGUCUGACCGAGCAACGCCGCGUGAGUGAAGAAGGUUUUUCGGAUCGUAAAACUCUGUUGUUAGAGAAGAACAAGGGUGAGAGUAACUGUUCACCCCUUGACGGUAUCUAACCAGAAAGCCACGGCUAACUACGCGCCAG